AACGAACGCUGGCGGCAUGCCUAACACAUGCAAGUCGAACGAGACCUUCGGGUCUAGUGGCGCACGGGUGCGUAACGCGUGGGAAUCUGCCCUUGGGUUCAGAAUAACAGUUAGAAAUGACUGCUAAUACCGGAUAAUGUCUUCGGACCAAAGAUUUAUCGCCCAGGGAUGAGCCCGCGUAGGAUUAGCUAGUUGGUGAGGUAAAGGCUCACCAAGGCGACGAUCCUUAGCUGGUCUGAGAGGAUGAUCAGCCACACUGGGACUGAGACACGGCCCAGACUCCUACGGGAGGCAGCAGUGGGGAAUAUUGGACAAUGGGCGAAAGCCUGAUCCAGCAAUGCCGCGUGAGUGAUGAAGGCCUUAGGGUUGUAAAGCUCUUUUACCCGGGAUGAUAAUGACAGUACCGGGAGAAUAAGCCCCGGCUAACUCCGUGCCAGCAGCCGCGGU
RNAcentral lists this ribosomal RNA (447 nucleotides) under uncultured bacterium. Its description in RNAcentral is "bacterial SSU rRNA". It matches the Rfam family "Bacterial small subunit ribosomal RNA", at positions 29 to 521 of the family's 1533-position model. The record is from RNAcentral.